This 211-nucleotide ribosomal RNA is filed under the name uncultured bacterium. Its description in RNAcentral is "partial 16S ribosomal RNA". It matches the Rfam family "Bacterial small subunit ribosomal RNA", at positions 524 to 734 of the family's 1533-position model. The record is from RNAcentral.
GACGUAGGGCGCGAGCGUUGUCCGGAUUUAUUGGGCGUAAAGAGCUCGUAGGCGGUUUGUCGCGUCGAAUGUGAAAACCCGGGGCUCAACCCCGGGCCUGCAUUCGAUACGGGCAGACUAGAGUUCGGUAGGGGAGUCUGGAAUUCCUGGUGUAGCGGUGAAAUGCGCAGAUAUCAGGAGGACACCGGUGGCGAAGGCGGGAUCUCUGGGC